AGUCCAGACUCCUACGGGAGGCAGCAGUGGGGAAUAUUGCACAAUGGGGGGAACCCUGAUGCAGCGACGCCGCGUGAGCGAAGAAGUAUCUCGGUAUGUAAAGCUCUAUCAGCAGGGAAGAAAAUGACGGUACCUGACUAAGAAGCUCCGGCUAAAUACGUGCCAGCAGCCGCGGUAAUACGUAUGGAGCAAGCGUUAUCCGGAUUUACUGGGUGUAAAGGGAGCGCAGGCGGCGCGCCAAGUCUGGUGUGAAACCCCGGGGCUCAACCCCGGGACUGCAUUGGAAACUGUGCAGCUAGAGUGCAGGAGAGGUAAGUGGAAUUCCUAGUGUAGCGGUGAAAUGCGUAGAUAUUAGGAGGAACACCAGUGGCGAAGGCGGCUUACUGGACUGUAACUGACGUUGAGGCUCGAAAGCGUGGGGAGCAAACAGGAUUAGAUACCCUUGUAGG
RNAcentral lists this ribosomal RNA (449 nucleotides) under uncultured bacterium. RNAcentral describes it as "bacterial SSU rRNA". It matches the Rfam family "Bacterial small subunit ribosomal RNA", at positions 328 to 794 of the family's 1533-position model. The record is from RNAcentral.